GCGGCGGACGGGUGAGUAACACGUGGGUAACCUGCCUGUAAGACUGGGAUAACUCCGGGAAACCGGGGCUAAUACCGGAUGCUUGAUUGAACCGCAUGGUUCAAUUAUAAAAGGUGGCUUUUAGCUACCACUUACAGAUGGACCCGCGGCGCAUUAGCUAGUUGGUGAGGUAACGGCUCACCAAGGCAACGAUGCGUAGCCGACCUGAGAGGGUGAUCGGCCACACUGGGACUGAGACACGGCCCAAACUCCUACGGGAGGCAGCAGUAGGGAAUCUUCCGCAAUGGACGAAAGUCUGACGGAGCAACGCCGCGUGAGUGAUGAAGGUUUUCGGAUCGUAAAACUCUGUUGUUAGGGAAGAACAAGUACCGUUCGAAUAGGGCGGUACCUUGACGGUACCUAACCAGAAAGCCACGGCUAACUACGUGCCAGCAGCCGCGGUAAUACGUAGGUGGCAAGCGUUGUCCGGAAUUAUUGGGCGUAAAGCGCGCGCAGGCGGUUUCUUAAGUCUGAUGUGAAAGCCCCCGGCUCAACCGGGGAGGGUCAUUGGAAACUGGGGAACUUGAGUGCAGAAAAGGAGAGUGGAAUUCCACGUGUAGCGGUGAAAUGCGUAAAGAUGUGGAGGAACACCAGUGGCGAAGGCGACUCUCUGGUCUGUAACUGACGCUGAGGCGCGAAAGCGUGGGGAGCGAACAGGAUUAGAUACCCUGGUAGUCCACGCCGUAAACGAUGA
RNAcentral lists this ribosomal RNA (733 nucleotides) under Bacillus licheniformis. RNAcentral describes it as "bacterial SSU rRNA". It matches the Rfam family "Bacterial small subunit ribosomal RNA", at positions 95 to 812 of the family's 1533-position model. Lineage: Bacteria; Bacillati; Bacillota; Bacilli; Caryophanales; Bacillaceae. The record is from RNAcentral.